Molecule: ribosomal RNA, 490 nt
Filed under: uncultured bacterium
Lineage: Bacteria
Description: partial 16S ribosomal RNA
Rfam family: Bacterial small subunit ribosomal RNA
Source: RNAcentral
AUUGAACGCUGGCGGCAGGCCUAACACAUGCAAGUCGAACGGUAACAGGAAACAGCUUGCUGUUUCGCUGACGAGUGGCGGACGGGUGAGUAAUGUCUGGGAAACUGCCUGAUGGAGGGGGAUAACUACUGGAAACGGUAGCUAAUACCGCAUAACGUCGCAAGACCAAAGAGGGGGACCCUCGGGCCUCUUGCCAUCGGAUGUGCCCAGAUGGGAUUAGCUUGUUGGUGGGGUAACGGCUCACCAAGGCGACGAUCCCUAGCUGGUCUGAGAGGAUGACCAGCCACACUGGAACUGAGACACGGUGCAGACUCCUACGGGAGGCAGCAGUGGGGAAUAUUGCACAAUGGGCGCAAGCCUGAUGCAGCCAUGCCGCGUGUAUGAAGAAGGCCUUCGGGUUGUAAAGUACUUUCAGCGGGGAGGAAGGGAGUAAAGUUAAUACCUUUGCUCAUUGACGUUACCCGCAGAAGAAGCACCGGCUAACUCCGUG